RNAcentral lists this ribosomal RNA (407 nucleotides) under uncultured bacterium. RNAcentral's name for it is "partial 16S ribosomal RNA". It matches the Rfam family "Bacterial small subunit ribosomal RNA", at positions 28 to 526 of the family's 1533-position model. The record is from RNAcentral.
GACGAACGCUGGCGGCGUGCCUAAUACAUGCAAGUAGGACGCAGUUUCGAACGGGUGAGUAACGCAUAGGUAACUGCCUAUUAGAGGGGGAUAACUAUUGGAAACGAUAGCUAAUACCGCAUACUAGUAGAUGGACCUACAGUGUAUUAGCUAGUAGGUAGGGGAAGUGCCUACCUAGGCGACGAUACAUAGCCGAACUGGGUGGGUGUACGGCCACACUGGGGACUAGGAAAGGCCCCAGAAUCUACGGGAGGCCACAGUAGGGGAUCUUCGGCAAUUGGGCGAAACCUGACCGAAGCACGGCGCGUGAGUGAAGGAGGGUUUCGGUUCGGAAAGCUCUGUUGUUAAGGAAGCGGUACUUAACCAGAAAGGGACGGCUAACUACGUGCCAGCAGCCGCGGUAAUUC